This is a long non-coding RNA of Camelina sativa (false flax), 972 nucleotides long. RefSeq lists it as uncharacterized. NCBI's taxonomy places the organism in Eukaryota, Viridiplantae, Streptophyta, Magnoliopsida, Brassicales, Brassicaceae. The record is from RefSeq and is a predicted model, not a curated record.
AGGCCCAAAUCAGAACACACCAGAAACUGAGAUCUGAAACAGACGGUACACCGGAGACGCAAUCCUCACCUAAUUUAGAUCCGACGCUAACAAAGACGAUUCCCCCCUUUGCAACUUACGACCUCAACAUCAAACCUUUGACCGGAGUUAGCGAAUCCCGCCGCGAGCCGUCGUAUCUAAUCGUCAUCUUCUUCUAGCCUCUCUCUUUAGAUUUUGGAUUUUUCUAUUGCUGGGAAUGUAUCUAAUCGUCAAUGAUCAUUUUUUAGCUUCUGCAUUGAAGACAAUCUGUACAAGAUCAUAAUCGUGUGUGUUCAUGUGUGAAAUAAUUUAUGAUAAUCAACUAAGCCAUGAAUUAUUGCAAUUAUCUUGUGGCUUUCAUGUUUAAUGUGCUUGAUCAUUGCAUUGAAAAGCCAUGUGUACAAAAUAAGAGGUGAGGAAGAUAUUGGAGAGCUUCUUGUGUCCGAUUUUUUUGAUUGUUGCAUUGAGUUACUUCCUCACGAAUCAAGCAUAUUGCGACUUCAUUUAGACAAGCCUUUUCUGAUUUUCCUUGAUGUGUCCUGUUGUAAUUGUAGUUGAGGAAGUUUUUCAGUUAGACUUGUUUAAGACAAAUAAAAAGAGAGAGAGCUUUUUUGCUGACCGGGUACUCGAUUUAUUAUUCGAAAUGCUCCAAUGACCGGGAUGUCUUCGGAAUGCUCCUACAGAAGACAAGAUUGACUGUACGUCUCUGAUCUUCAAAAUUUAAUCCAAGAAACCAUCUAUAACAAAUUAUAAUGCGAUGUUCACAUACUACAUAGAAUCAAAGAAAGUUCAUUAGUUUCGUUUCGUUUUGGUUUGUUUUCUCUUAUCAGAGCAAACUAUUUUGGGAAUUGUGUUUGUUUUCUCUUAUCAUGUCUAUUUGUUUCAAUUUACCUGAACAUUUUUCAAGACGUUGUUGUGACUUCUCUGAGAAAAAGAAAAAAAGAACCUUAUGUU